RNAcentral lists this ribosomal RNA (253 nucleotides) under uncultured Gemmata sp. RNAcentral describes it as "partial 16S ribosomal RNA". It matches the Rfam family "Bacterial small subunit ribosomal RNA", at positions 524 to 776 of the family's 1533-position model. The record is from RNAcentral. Lineage: Bacteria; Pseudomonadati; Planctomycetota; Planctomycetia; Gemmatales; Gemmataceae.
GACGAACCGUGCGAACGUUGUUCGGAAUCACUGGGCUUAAAGGGCGCGUAGGCGGGCUCGCAAGUCAGGGGUGAAAUACCACGGCUCAACCGUGGCAGUGCCUUUGAUACUGCGAACCUCGAGGGAGGUAGGGGCGUGCGGAACUUCCGGUGGAGCGGUGAAAUGCGUAGAUAUCGGAAGGAACACCGGUGGCGAAAGCGGCGCGCUGGACCUCUUCUGACGCUGAGGCGCGAAAGCCAGGGGAGCAAACGGG